AAAAUCCACUAGUUUUGCGCUUUUGCAAAAGUGGGUCACCUUUUUCGAUUUUUCCAAUUCAGGCCGGAUUUUCAGCAAACUGAUCAAAAUACCCUUGUACCUUUUUCUCUCUCUUUUUUUUUUCUCUCGUUCUUUUUUUCUUUUUCUUCCCAAGAGAGCGGCGGAGGCGGAGGCGGAGGCGGAGGCGGCUUGCUUCGAUUUUGUUCAAUGCAUUCUUACCCUCGCUCACGCACCUCCCGCUUUCCUCGCCUCCGAUCCCGCUGAGAUCGCGCUGCGACUUUUUUUUCCCUCUCUCCGACCCUCCUCCACCGUCUCCAACGACAAUGCCUAUCUCACCCUCUCUUACCCUUCUCACCUUUUCCCUCUCCCUCCUCCUUUGCCUCAUCCGCCGCCUCCGACGACGACGCCUCUCCGCCGAU
This 419-nucleotide long non-coding RNA is filed under the name Ananas comosus (pineapple). RNAcentral describes it as "long non-coding RNA (ACOM_LNC025355)". Lineage: Eukaryota; Viridiplantae; Streptophyta; Magnoliopsida; Poales; Bromeliaceae. The record is from RNAcentral.